Molecule: long non-coding RNA, 1018 nt
Organism: Numida meleagris (helmeted guineafowl)
Lineage: Eukaryota; Metazoa; Chordata; Aves; Galliformes; Numididae
Exons: 3
Source: RefSeq, a predicted model, not a curated record
GGGUCUAUCAGUAAAGUUGGUGUUAUCCUGUUUCUCAUUUCUAGCAGAGUCUAGGUGGCUUCUGCUGAAAUGAGGAGUUUCUUCUGCCAUUGAGCCCUUUAGUUUGAAAAUUGGGAUGGGUUCCUCCUGCUUUUAAAAAUCAAUAUUUUUUUCCUUUUGUUUCUUACUUUUCUAAAGAUUUAGCUUGAAAUCAGGUUUAAAGGGCAGUAACUAUUUCUGGGUACUUUCCCAGCAGACAUCUAGAUAGUUCAUUAUGAAAGUAGUUCAGCUCAGCUUUCUUAAUUUUCUGAAAAAUGAUUUAAUACAUUCUUGUUUGUUUGUUUUUCUCUGGAGUACAUCCUUGCCAGUCGUGUUAUCAUAUCUGGCUACAGACACAUAGGUGGAUGCUUUCUGGAGCUUGCAAUUUCUAAUGAGGACCUUGCAAUUUUCAGCAGGUGGGGUCUUGUCUUUACAAAGACGGAUGCUUGUGUGACCAACCAAAUGCAACCAGGUCUUGUAAAAACACCAGCAGAAAACAUCAGUUGGUACUGCAAAGUUAACAUCUCGUUGAAGCUCAAAGGAUAGCAGAGAGCAGCGCUAGCACCUUUGCGGGUGUCACUUCUUGGCUCCAAACAGCUUACUGCAAGUAUUCUCCUGGAGAUGCUGGCAGCCUGUGCCCUGGACAGGUAUGCUCUUUGCUGGGUAAGGAACUGGCUGGAGGGCCGGGCCCAGAGAGUGGUGGUGAAUGGAGUUACAUCCAACUGGUGAUCUAUCAUAAGUGGUGUUUCCCAGGGAUCGUUACCGGGGCCUGUCCUGUGUAAUAUCUUUAUUGUUGAUCUGGAUGAGGGAAUUGGGUGCACCCUCAGUAAGUUUGACACCAGAUUGGGAAGAAAUGUUGACCUGCCUGGGGGCAGGAAGGCCCUACAGAGGGCUGAUGCCAAUGGGAUGAAGUUAAAAAUGACCAAGGGCCAAGUCCUGCACUUUGGCCACAAAAACCCCAGGCAAUGCUACAGGCUUGGGGCAGGGUGGCUGGAAGCUG